RNAcentral lists this long non-coding RNA (761 nucleotides) under Homo sapiens (human). RNAcentral describes it as "HSALNT0149828". The record is from RNAcentral. Lineage: Eukaryota; Metazoa; Chordata; Mammalia; Primates; Hominidae.
CCCUCUUGUCUGCUUUGCCUUAGAUGGUAUCACUCUUAUCCCUAGGCUCUGAGCCUCUGACUUUCUGGUCCAGGUAGCAAGUGUCUGCAGGAUUUCUAGACCCCAUGCUCUUACACCAGCUUGUCUAUGAAGAUGGAAGACAAAGCUUUUCUUUCCAAGAAGAAACUGAAAACAUCAACUCAAGUCUUGACUUUGGUUGGGAAAGAGUAACUGCAGUAAUUAGGACCCAAUUGAUGGCAAAGGGGUAUGAUCUAGAAUACCUGAAACUUGGUAAUUUAUGAAGAAAAGGAAUUCAUUUCUUACAGUUAUGGAGGCUGAGAAGUCCAAGGUCCAGGGGCAUAACAGAGACAAGGUCUCACUACGCUGCCUAGGCUCGUCUCAAACUCCUGGACUCAAGCAAUCCUCCUGCCUCGGCCUCUCAAAGUGCUGGGAUUAUAGGCGUGAGCCACCAUGCCCAGCCCCUAUUGCCUUUUGAUCCGUACUUUUUGAUUAAUAUCCUCUAAAACACAUGAAAAUUCACUGUUCCCUCUGUUAGGUGCUCCCAUAGAACACAUAUAGGACCCUAGAAGUCCCAUCUCUUUAGAAAAAUUAUCUUUCUGGGAAAAUACAGAGUUUCUUUUAUAACACAUCUGUGUCUCUGUAUGCUGGCCAAAAGCCUCAAACCCCCAAACAGACCUGAAAUGUUUAUCCCUACCACUACUUCUGAUAAUAGGGGUUUGACUUUGUAUUGCCCACACAUCCCAUUAAAACAUAUAAUGUGA